GAUGAACGCUGGCGGCGUGCUUAACACAUGCAAGUCGAACGAUGAUCCCAGCUUGCUGGGGGAUUAGUGGCGAACGGGUGAGUAACACGUGAGUAACCUGCCCUUGACUCUGGGAUAAGCCUGGGAAACAGGGUCUAAUACCGGAUAUGCCUCCUCAUCGCAUGGUGGGGGGUGGAAAGCUCUUGUGGUUUUGGAUGGACUCGCGGCCUAUCAGCUUGUCGGUGGGGUAAUGGCCUACCAAGGCGACGACGGGUAGCCGGCCUGAGAGGGUGACCGGCCACACUGGGACUGAGACACGGCCCAGACUCCUACGGGAGGCAGCAGUGGGGAAUAUUGCACAAUGGGCGCAAGCCUGAUGCAGCGACGCCGCGUGAGGGAUGACGGCCUUCGGGUUGUAAACCUCUUUCAGUAGGGAAGAAGCGUAAGUGACGGUACCUGCAGAAGAAGCGCCGGCUAACUACGUGCCAGCAGCCGCGGUAA
This 480-nucleotide ribosomal RNA is filed under the name uncultured bacterium. RNAcentral describes it as "partial 16S ribosomal RNA". It matches the Rfam family "Bacterial small subunit ribosomal RNA", at positions 28 to 523 of the family's 1533-position model. The record is from RNAcentral.